GCAUAUCAAUAAGCGGAGGAAAAGAAACUAACCAGGAUUCCCUCAGUAAGGGCGACUGAAGCGGGAAAAGCCCAUGCGAAAUCUGCGCUUUACUGCGCCGAAUUGUGGUCUGGAGACACAGGCGUUAGCGGCCGGACGAAGUCCCUUGGAACGGGGCAGCAGAGAGGGUGAAACUCCCGUCCGUCUGGCUUCGCGAGCCGGUAGUCCACGAGUCGAGUUGUUUGGGAAU
RNAcentral lists this ribosomal RNA (229 nucleotides) under uncultured fungus. Its description in RNAcentral is "partial 26S ribosomal RNA". It matches the Rfam family "Eukaryotic large subunit ribosomal RNA", at positions 38 to 281 of the family's 3401-position model. The record is from RNAcentral. Lineage: Eukaryota; Fungi.